RNAcentral lists this ribosomal RNA (254 nucleotides) under uncultured bacterium. RNAcentral describes it as "partial 16S ribosomal RNA". It matches the Rfam family "Bacterial small subunit ribosomal RNA", at positions 524 to 776 of the family's 1533-position model. The record is from RNAcentral.
UACGUAGGGCGCGAGCGUUUGUCCGGAAUUAUUGGGCGUAAAGAGCUCGUAGGCGGCCUGUUGCGUCCGCUGUGAAAUCCCAGGGCUUAACCCUGGGCGUGCAGUGGAUACGGGCAGGCUGGAGGCAGGCAGGGGAGAACGGAAUUCCCGGUGUAGCGGUGAAAUGCGCAGAUAUCGGGAGGAACACCGGUGGCGAAGGCGGGUCUCUGGGCCGAUACUGACGCUGAGGAGCGAAAGCGUGGGGAGCGAACAGG